This 315-nucleotide signal recognition particle RNA is filed under the name Ignisphaera aggregans DSM 17230. RNAcentral's name for it is "Archaeal signal recognition particle RNA". It matches the Rfam family "Archaeal signal recognition particle RNA". Lineage: Archaea; Thermoproteati; Thermoproteota; Thermoprotei; Desulfurococcales; Desulfurococcaceae. The record is from Rfam by way of RNAcentral.
CGCACAGGUAGGGCCAGGGGGCUCGCCCUCCCCUAUACCCGAAAUGGGCGUCACGCGGGGGCCAGUAACCCGCUGUAUGGGUAUAUGGAUAUACCCAGAGAGCCCCAGACCGCGAUGAACUCCGCCCUGUGGGGCCGGUGGUGAUGGGGCUACCUCCGGAAGGAGGUAGCUACCAUCUUUACAGGGGGAAAGCGGCCAGGCCCGGAAGGGAGCAACCUAACCCCUGACACCGGCGUUCACAGGUCCACGGAGUAGAGGUAAGGUCUGGGGAGCACUCUGGGUAUAUCCAUAUACCCAUACAGCGGGAGCUGUGCG